Molecule: ribosomal RNA, 324 nt
Filed under: uncultured eukaryote
Lineage: Eukaryota
Description: partial 18S ribosomal RNA
Rfam family: Eukaryotic small subunit ribosomal RNA
Source: RNAcentral
CCCUUAGAUGUUCUGGGCUGCACGCGCGCUACACUGAAGCUAUCACCACGUUUUCCCUCCCUGAGAAGGGCGGGUAACCUUUUGAAUCAGCUUCGUGGUAGGGAUCGGGGCUUGCAAUUGUUCCCCGUGAACCAGGAAUUCCUAGUAGACGCGAGUCAUAAGCUCGCAUCGAUUAAGUCCCUGCCCUUUGUACACACCGCCCGUCGCUACUACCGAUUGAACGUUUUAGUGAGGCAUUUGGACCGACGCAUCUCAGUUUAACCGCUGGUUUGUGUUGGAAAGACUUCCAAACUUGAGCGUUUAGAGGAAGUAAAAGUCGUAACA